GGCUCAGAUUGAACGCUGGCGGCAUGCCUUACACAUGCAAGUCGAACGGCAGCACGGGAGCAAUCCUGGUGGCGAGUGGCGAACGGGUGAGUAAUAUAUCGGAACGUGCCCGGUCGUGGGGGAUAACGUAGCGAAAGCUACGCUAAUACCGCAUACGAUCUAAGGAUGAAAGCGGGGGAUCGCAAGACCUCGCGCGAUUGGAGCGGCCGAUAUCAGAUUAGGUAGUUGGUGAGGUAAAGGCUCACCAAGCCAACGAUCUGUAGCUGGUCUGAGAGGACGACCAGCCACACUGGAACUGAGACACGGUCCAGACUCCUACGGGAGGCAGCAGUGGGGAAUUUUGGACAAUGGACGCAAGUCUGAUCCAGCCAUUCCGCGUGCAGGAUGAAGGCCCUCGGGUUGUAAACUGCUUUUGUACGGAACGAAAAGGUUUCUAUUAAUACUAGGAGCUCAUGACGGUACCGUAAGAAUAAGCACCGGCUAACUACGUA
Molecule: ribosomal RNA, 491 nt
Filed under: uncultured bacterium
Lineage: Bacteria
Description: bacterial SSU rRNA
Rfam family: Bacterial small subunit ribosomal RNA
Source: RNAcentral